CGGCGGACGGGUGAGUAACGCGUGGGUGACCUGCCUCAUACCGGGGGAUAACAGCUGGAAACGGCUGCUAAUACCGCAUAAGCGCACAGAGCUGCAUGGCUCGGUGUGAAAAACUCCGGUGGUAUGGGAUGGGCCCGCGUCCGAUUAGGCAGUUGGCGGGGUAACGGCCCACCAAACCGACGAUCAGUAGCCGGCCUGAGAGGGCGACCGGCCACAUUGGGACUGAGACACGGCCCAA
RNAcentral lists this ribosomal RNA (238 nucleotides) under uncultured bacterium. RNAcentral describes it as "partial 16S ribosomal RNA". It matches the Rfam family "Bacterial small subunit ribosomal RNA", at positions 96 to 334 of the family's 1533-position model. The record is from RNAcentral.